RNAcentral lists this unclassified non-coding RNA (328 nucleotides) under soil metagenome. RNAcentral describes it as "partial contains 5.8S ribosomal RNA, internal transcribed spacer 2, and large subunit ribosomal RNA". The stretch from base 1 to 119 matches the Rfam family "5.8S ribosomal RNA", at positions 35 to 154 of the family's 154-position model. The record is from RNAcentral.
GAUGAAGAACGCAGCGAAAUGCGAUAAGUAAUGUGAAUUGCAGAAUUCAGUGAAUCAUCGAAUCUUUGAACGCACAUUGCGCCCCCUGGUAUUCCGGGGGCAUGCCUGUCCGAGCGUCAUUACAACCCUCAAGCUCAGCUUGGUAUUGGGCCCCGCCGCUCCGGCGGGCCCUAAAGUCAGUGGCGGUGCCGUCCGGCUCCGAGCGUAGUAAUUCUUCUCGCUCUGGAGGUCCGGUCGUGUGCUCGCCAGCAACCCCCAAUUUUUUUCAGGUUGACCUCGGAUCAGGUAGGGAUACCCGCUGAACUUAAGCAUAUCAAUAAGCGGAGGA